AGCUUUGCACAGUGGCGGUAUCGUAGCCAAUGAGGUUUAUCCGAGGCGCAAUUAUUGCUAAUUGAAAAUACAUCAUGUGUGAUUGAAAGCAAUGUGUAAUUUCAAUCUUUAUUGGAAGCAAGAGCUU
This is a small nuclear RNA of Tupaia belangeri (northern tree shrew), 127 nucleotides long. Its record names the gene U4. It matches the Rfam family "U4 spliceosomal RNA". From Rfam's summary of the family: U4 small nuclear RNA (U4 snRNA) is a component of the major U2-dependent spliceosome. The structure of U4 snRNA from yeast and human has been reported. U4 snRNA presents a k-turn RNA motif in the 5p-SL related to recognition of Snu13 protein. The record is from Ensembl. Lineage: Eukaryota; Metazoa; Chordata; Mammalia; Scandentia; Tupaiidae.